AGCUCAGCAGUGCAGUGCCUGCCUGGCAAGCAUGAGGCCCUGGGUUCGAUUCCCAG
This 56-nucleotide transfer RNA is filed under the name Heterocephalus glaber (naked mole-rat). It matches the Rfam family "tRNA", at positions 9 to 63 of the family's 71-position model. Rfam says of the family: Transfer RNA (tRNA) molecules are approximately 80 nucleotides in length. Their secondary structure includes four short double-helical elements and three loops (D, anti-codon, and T loops). The record is from Rfam by way of RNAcentral. Lineage: Eukaryota; Metazoa; Chordata; Mammalia; Rodentia; Bathyergidae.